GUGGGGAAUAUUGCACAAUGGGCGAAAGCCUGAUGCAGCAACGCCGCGUGAGGGACGACGGCCUUCGGGUUGUAAACCUCUUUUAGUAGGGAAGAAGCGAAAGUGACGGUACCUGCAGAAAAAGCACCGGCUAACUACGUGCCAGCAGCCGCGGUAAUACGUAGGGUGCAAGCGUUAUCCGGAAUUAUUGGGCGUAAAGAGCUCGUAGGCGGUGUGUCGCGUCUGCUGUGAAAACUGGAGGCUCAACCUCCAGCCUGCGGUGGGUACGGGCAGACUAGAGUGCGGUAGGGGAGAUUGGAAUUCCUGGUGUAGCGGUGGAAUGCGCAGAUAUCAGGAGGAACACCGAUGGCGAAGGCAGAUCUCUGGGCCGUAACUGACGCUGAGGAGCGAAAGCGUGGGGAGCGAACAGGAUUAGAAACCCCUGUAGUCC
This 430-nucleotide ribosomal RNA is filed under the name uncultured bacterium. Its description in RNAcentral is "partial 16S ribosomal RNA". It matches the Rfam family "Bacterial small subunit ribosomal RNA", at positions 354 to 796 of the family's 1533-position model. The record is from RNAcentral.